This 253-nucleotide ribosomal RNA is filed under the name uncultured bacterium. RNAcentral's name for it is "partial 16S ribosomal RNA". It matches the Rfam family "Bacterial small subunit ribosomal RNA", at positions 524 to 776 of the family's 1533-position model. The record is from RNAcentral.
UACAGAGACUGCAAGCGUUAUUCGGACUCACUGGGCGUAAAGGGUGCGCAGGCGGCCGUGUGUGUGAGGCGUGAAAGCCCGGGGCUUAACCCCGGAAUUGCACCUCAAACUACACGGCUAGAGCAUUGGAGAGGGUAGCAGAAUUCACGGUGUAGCAGUGAAAUGCGUAGAUAUCGUGAGGAAUACCAGAGGCGAAGGCGGCUACCUGGACAAUUGCUGACGCUCAGGCACGAAAGCGUGGGGAGCAAAAGGG